This is a long non-coding RNA of Parus major (Great Tit), 3555 nucleotides long. RefSeq lists it as uncharacterized. The record is from RefSeq and is a predicted model, not a curated record. Lineage: Eukaryota; Metazoa; Chordata; Aves; Passeriformes; Paridae. The transcript has 3 exons.
UAAAGUAUUUGGAGUAUUUUUCAAAACAUCCUGCUGCUUGAAGAAUGACAGGUAAUCAAACUUUCUAUUGGAAGAGGUCAAAGGAUGUUCUGUCAUUCUGAAUUUGACCUUGUUUUAAAGAAUUUGGCUGGAGAUGGAUGGGUCAGUACUGGAAAAAAAAUAAGUACUUUGCAGGACAUUGACAGGACUGCUAUCAACUUUUGUCUCCAUUCCGUUUUACACAUUAUGGGACUUCCAGAUGUCUCCUUGUAUGACAAAGAAAGAAAUAAUUCUCCAGUGAGUUACACAUGAGAGGUCUGACAUCCCCUGUGAAAGAAUCCAUUUUUGUAAUUCUAUUUUCUGCUCUGGACAGCUAAUGAGGGAAGACAAGAUUGUAUUUUAGAUGAAACAGAUCGUCCAAGUUGACAGCAUAAUUUACUCUAACAAAUAGGUCUUGUCCUGCAACCCACCUUAGAAACACCAACUCUGUUUUUGUUCAGUUCAUGAAGAAAAACAACAUGUUUGUACAUGACAUUCACGUAAAAUGAGUAUAAAUAUCAUCUUAAGGAGUCAUAUAGACUGACAGCACUAGGAUGAGUAGUGAUCACUACCUGCAUUUCCUUACAUGGCACACUCUUAUGGUUUCAAGGAUGUCUUGUUAGUACAGUUUUUUCUGUCAUCAAUCACCUUUCUUACUGCCAUAUUCUCUGUCUUCCAAGCUAUAUAAGUUGUUCUCAUUACAGCUGGCCUUUAUACCUCCUGCAUAUAGUGCUUGGUUUUAUUUGUUUAAUAUUAAAUUAAGCCUUAUGUAUCUGUCAUGCCAAAUCAGCUUCAUAAUUUCUGAAAAGAUUUCUCUGUAUGAAUGGCUGCCUGAAGUGAACCUGAGAAAUGGGUAGAAUUUUAGAAGAUAUAAAAUGUCUCCCAUAUUUGAAAAAUGUGCUUAUUUACUCUGAUAUUUUAUGCCACAGAGAGAAAUACUAAUUAAAUUUUCUUUACACAUGCUGUGAUCUGUGCAGGCUAUCUAUAUUCAAAGCACUCAUAUUUUAUAUGUUUCAUUGUCAUUGCUGAGUCUGUAAAAUAUGAAUUUAGGGAAGAGGAUGAUUAUUUUUUUAAUAUAAAUUGCUGAAAUGCCUAUUGUCACUGCUUCUGGGAAAAGUGUUUGUGAAAGUAAUAAUAAACAGAAACAAAUUAUAAAGCCCAACCAAACCAAACAAACAAACAAAAAAAAAACCACCCCAAACCAACAAACAAAAUCAAACAAACAAAAAUCCAAACUUGUAUUUCUGCCAUUCUUCUACUUUUCCAUUCAUGCUAUGGUGAACAGCUAAUUCUUAAUUCUCUUCAGUAACCUCAGUGCUUGGACUACAAACCAAGCCAUGUAGGUAUUGCAAAGAAUAUAUGCAUCUCAAACACCCUAAAAUACAUCACUCAGAUAUAAUUAAGUAUCACAUUAAGGAAAUAACAUGGUAAGGAGGAUGUAAUUGUUUGACAACUAUCUCUACAUCAUACCUGCUUAUUAUUUUACAACUAAAUUAAAGUGUAAUUUAUGAAGGAGAACAAAAGAUUUUUGAUACCUACUAGGUUGCAUAAUGCUAAUGGUGUCAGAAAACUGCUUAUGUCUCUGGUAUUUGAAAUACCCAGUUUUUUCAGUGCUGAUAAUGGCUUUCAGCUUACUGUUUUGCCAGCCAGGUUUCUAUUCUCCUGUCCCCCAGUGCUGUGUCAUUAGCAGUAAGAUUAGUGCUUCCUACUGUCUUUUAGUUAACUGCAUUUGCAGAGUGGAUUUGCAAAUGUCCAAGUCACUUUAAAUAGCUUUGUUACCUCUUUGGAGUGAUAUUGAACGACAGAGAACUGAGAAUUGCUAAUAUUUGGCAGGCACAUCUUCAUGUCCCUAUGGACUUAUCAGGAAUGUAAUGGUAGAAAUUAUUGUCUUAAAAAGUCUCAUGUAGGAAAUGAUUUAAAAUGUAAUAUCCAAGUUCAUUCAAUUGAACUUCUAUGCUUCACUCUGAAUACAGUGUUUGCAGGAAAAGCUGUGAUUUGAUAGACACUGUUCUGUCAAAUGAUGUGCUCUGUAGAAGAGGAACAAGAAAGUUAUCUGCAGCUGCAGGCUGACAGACUGCAUGACAGCCCUAGCUGUCCUGGCAUUUUAGUACAGUACUGUGUGCUGACGUGGUGGAAAAGAGAACAACUGAUAAAACCCCCAUAAUAUAAAUGCUAUUGCUAUUUUAAAUAGAGUAAUUUAAUUCUAUAUAACAUAAAUAUAUUUUCUAUUUUAAAUCUAGCAAUUUAAAUCUGUAUACACUUCAGUACACUUGGGUUUAUAGGAAUUUGCUGUGUGAACAUUUAUUAUGUUCUGAGACCCCCACAGCAACAAAAGCAUUGAGGUAGAACUUUAUAUUUUCCUUAAAGGACACUGAGAGAUACCAGAAAGCUUUUCAUAUUUAAUGAUGUUAUAUUGAAGCAUAUUUUAUAUUGAAAUUAAUUUUGAAUUUGAAAAAAAGUCAGUUUUGCCAGUAGAUACAGGUUCUGAAAGUCAUUUCCUGCCUCUGCCUCAGUCUUACACACAUUGUAAUUGGAAAGUUAUCACCUCAAACUGCUCUCAUUUAUCAAGUGUCAAGGGCAUUUUAGGCUGGUAAAGGAGGCUUCACACAGUCAUCACUGAGUCUUUAGGAAAUUCUGUUGUUUCUUUUUUUUUCUUAUCACACCAAAGUUUGGCUCACAGCUGCCCUUCUGCCACCUUAGAAAAUCCCUCUCAUGGGCAACGGUCUCCCUGCCUGUCUGGGAUCUGGCAUGUUCACCUGGUCUCCAAGAAAGAUCGAGCCUCAUUCUACUUUCUUAUAGUUGUGCCUUACCCGGUGUGCAGCAGCAAGAACAUGGUAAAAUCAGUCUUUCUACUUGCCUUUUGUCAAAUAUAACAUGAAUUUAAGUCAACCGCAUUAUUAUCCUGAUCAUAGGAAGCAAGCCCAUUGAUCCUCCUAGGUGUUCCAGUUAUCACCUGCUAGCUAAGGGAAGUGGAGCCAGCAAAAAAGAAAAAGGUAAUUGGAAAGUUAAUACCACUAUUUGAGUGACUGUCACUCCUCAGCCAUGUCUUAUCCAUCCAUUAUUAGAUAAUCUGACGAAUUUCCUUUCAGGAAGCUUCUGAACUUCAUUUUGGAAUUUGACCUUAAUUUGAAAUGUGGUAGCACAAAGAGUAGUGACUCCUAACUGAAGUGCAUUCCUAAAAGUUACAAUAAAUUGAACUAGUUUUAAAGUCUCUGUACAUGCACAGUCAUAUGUUUGCUUUACCCUACAACAAAUCAGUCUUUAUAUAGAAUAUAUUCAGAAUAUUCAUUUUUGGGUUGGGCUUUAAGCAAUAGCUUCCGUAUUAUUCCCAGCAAUAGGAAACCAUGUCAGAGUACAUCUUUUGGAAGCUUUGGAUUGUCCUCAUCAAGAGACAAAGCUCAGAUAUCCCAUUUUUGCAAACCACAUUUCUUUCUGUUAUUGGAGCUCACAAUAACAAAAUAUUUAGACAUAAGGAAUUAUUUUGAGCUUGCUGCAAUGUUAUUUCACUGAAAAGCCAUGAAAUCUGUGUAAUAGUUA